AUUGAACGCUGGCGGCAUGCCUUACACAUGCAAGUCGAACGGCAGCACGGGAGCAAUCCUGGUGGCGAGUGGCGAACGGGUGAGUAAUAUAUCGGAACGUGCCCGGUCGUGGGGGAUAACGUAGCGAAAGCUACGCUAAUACCGCAUACGAUCUACGGAUGAAAGCGGGGGAUCGCAAGACCUCGCGCGAUUGGAGCGGCCGAUAUCAGAUUAGGUAGUUGGUGAGGUAAAGGCUCACCAAGCCGACGAUCUGUAGCUGGUCUGAGAGGACGACCAGCCACACUGGGACUGAGACACGGCCCAGACUCCUACGGGAGGCAGCAGUGGGGAAUUUUGGACAAUGGGCGCAAGCCUGAUCCAGCAAUGCCGCGUGCAGGAUGAAGGCCUUCGGUUGGUUAACG
This 401-nucleotide ribosomal RNA is filed under the name uncultured bacterium. Its description in RNAcentral is "bacterial SSU rRNA". It matches the Rfam family "Bacterial small subunit ribosomal RNA", at positions 30 to 431 of the family's 1533-position model. The record is from RNAcentral.